RNAcentral lists this long non-coding RNA (5029 nucleotides) under Homo sapiens (human). RNAcentral's name for it is "HSALNT0292733". The record is from RNAcentral. Lineage: Eukaryota; Metazoa; Chordata; Mammalia; Primates; Hominidae.
UCGGCCUCUCAAAAUGCUGGGAUUACAGGCGUGAGCCACCGCGCCUGGCGACAAGAUUAGUUCUUAAUGAUUUCAGUGCAAAAACUCAAAGCCUCACUCAACAUAAUUUUUAUAAUUGUAAAUAGAAAAAGAUGACCAAUAAGUAUAAUUUAUACUAUAUUAAGUCAUUAUACAUAUUAAUUCUUCUAAGGUUUAAUUUAAAAAUAAGCAGCUGAACUGAACUUACAGCAAAGAAAAUAAAAUAGCUUUCUUUUUAAGAAAUAUUAAUGAAUCUUAAAGUUAGGGUUGUGUAGCAUCAGUUAUGCUAGAAAGGGAAAACUGAGUUUGAGGCAUGUGAAGAAAAGUGAUUAAAUUGGUUAAAAAAAUAGUACUCAUAUCCUAUUGUCAACUGUAUCUAGUUCCAUACUGUAUGUAUUUUUAUAUCUCUGGUAAGUGCUUAUGGUGGUCCCAAAUAACUUGUGAGUUUCCAGACAUAGACAGUUCUCAGAGCAUGUGUAUUCAUAUAAAUUUUUAAAUGGCUAUUGCUGUAGUGCUCUACAGGUUAAAAAAAGUGAGGCGAAAUUGAAACAUUUAAAAAAUACUGUACUAUUUAAAAAUUUGUAUGAAUGUCUGUGUAGCAGCUGCCAUUUUCAGGCUGUCUUUGUUGCUAUGGUUUGGUUGAUUUUAUUUCCUUUUGUAAUUUUGCCAGCCAGUGAUUGGGUAGUACAUUGCAUUCAUGCUGUUGGGGAAGAUAUAUCUGUGGUGAGUCAGAUAGCUUGAUCUGAGUAGUAAUUUUUAGUAGGGAAAGGUAUUUGUCAGUGGGUAAUAGAAACUGUAGUGUUACAUUACCCAUCUUCAUUUAAUUUUCAAAUUUACAGACAUGUCACUUAAUAUCAGAAAUUCAGAACCAUCUCUUUUGCAGUGAUAUGUACUUGCCUCUCUCCUUUUGUCCUGUCAGAUGCACUUAGAAUUCUGUGUAGUUUAAUCUUAAAGGGAUUAGUUAUUUAAUUUUAAGCUCCUACAUAAAAUGAAUAUUGUACAUACAGGGUCCCAUCAUUGUCACUUUCAAAUAUUCCAUUGCCUUUCAAAGGAGCUGACAUGACAAGUCCUUAGGUUGACAAAUUCUCAUCAACUUUUAUGAAAAUGUUGGCUGCAGAAGGAGUAAAGUCAAAGGAGGGCCAUAGACAGAUGGCUUUCAGUGUUGAGAUGACAUCAAGCCCUUCUUCGUGGCAUUUUUUAACAUUCCAAAUGAAUGAGGGAUGGAGAUGCUUAAAGAGCUUACUAUAGAAUAAGUAAUUAAGAUAUUGUGUAUCUGCAUGUAAACCCCUGUUGCAUACUAUUAAACAGAGUUGUGCAGGCUCAGAUAUAAUAGCAGAUUAACAAUGACAAUUGUAAAUAUCUUUUAUGCUGAAUGUAACUCAUAAAUAAUAUUACACAUUAACAUGUUGCUGAUGGAAAACUGUGUACCUGAGAACAUAUUUUCAACAUUAGAUAAUUGAGAACUAACGAUAAGUGGGUUACCAGUGUUUGAAAUGAAGCAAAGAUUCUAGAUAAGAACUUGGCAAAAGCUUAUUUGCAUAAGAAAUUUUGCGUCUUUAUAUGACUAUGACAAGAUUUUUUUGGAUGGAUGCACACCAUAUAAAAAUUACUAAGUUACUAAAGUUUCUGAUGGAUUCAUUUAGUUGGCUUUCCUCCCCCUCUUCUUUUAAAUGGUAGAGGUUCUCUUUUGGAGAGUAGUUUCAAGUAACUUCUGAGAAUGAAGUCUUUGUAACGAUGCUGUUCAACAGCGUAACUAUUGUUGUGCAUUCCUGUCAGGGAAAGAUAGUCAUUGCAGUACUUUUAUUGUAUGGCCUCUUAAUAUGUGACAAGGACUUUUAUUAAGAAUUCUUUUCUUAACAUACUUUUAGAAGUCUCUCCUUUUCCCACAUUCAAUCAGUAACUACAGUUUUAAAAAAAUAUUUAAAUGAACUUUUAUUGAUUUCUUAGCUUACUGUAUAGACAAAAAUCUUACGUUUAAAAAAGGUUUUAAAAUUAAUGUAUUUUAGAGUUUCAGUAAAAUGAAGUGGGAACAAAAAUUAACAAAAAAGUGCCAUCUCAUUGGAUCCAGGAUAUGUAGUAAUACACACACACAGUUCUAUGUCUGUGUAACCAUAUAUAUAUAUGUAUACACAGUUCUUUGGAGAAUGAGGAUAUUUCAGUCCAAAAUGUUAUGGUUGAAGAACUAAUUGUUCUAAAGAUAUUUGCCCCUGGCCCCAGAAAAGACGACAAACAUGCAAAAUGGAUAAAUGUAAUCCUUUGUACUUUUACCACCUACAUUUUUAAACUACAGUAACUCUGAUUUCUCUAGAAAGGUCAGAGGUUUCAGACAGAAAGCUUUGUAAUUCUUCAAAGAAAGACAUUUUCAGUUUGGCUGUAUAAAGACUGAUUAUGCAUAGCUUUUUACUUUAUGUGCGGUUGAAUCUUGGAGGUGCUGGAGUGGGGUGGGGACGAUGAAUAAGUGAAGCUGUGUUUUGAGACAUUAGAAUUGGAGGGAAACAGACAGAUUGGAGAGGAACAUAGAUUCAUAUUUUUGGGCUUUUUACUAUCAAGUCACCCAGUCUAAAACUCAGGACAGAGCAGCAUUAACCAUUCAUUUUGCUUUGUGAUAGAGCAUUCGAUUACCAACUCUUUAAACUCUUUUGGCAAUUCAAGGAGGUUGCCUAUCUGGGUACCAUUUCUUAGGAUUUGCUUUGUUGGAUUUUCUAAAUUGUGGAUGUGAGUUUCUUUGGUUUUGCAUUUUUUAAAAAAAUUUUUUGGUCCUUUUUAACUUUUCCAAGUUUUGGAGAAUUUUUCAUGUUGGGCGGUGUUGGAGAAGUAGAGAUUGUAGAUGACCUUCGUUGUGGCUUACUCCUGUUAUUUGGGAAAUAGACGUUCAGAGAGCAUCUCACUUGAGGCCACACCAACAGUUAAGAGGCAAAGCCAGCAUUUAAGCCAACUCCCUUAGAUCCCAGACUUUUGCCCUAAAACUAUAUUAUUUAAAUUAUCUUUUCUUAUGUGUUUUUAAAUUAGCCCUUCAUAUAAACUUCAAAUUUUAGGUAGGGGAGCUUUUAUGGUUCCCUUUAUGCCAGUGAGGAAACAGCCAGAGAGGUUGAGUAACUUGUCCAGGGUUAUAUGGUUAAUAAGUGGUUAGGAUUAGUAACUAGGCCAGACCCUUCUAUGGCCUGUUUUUAUCUCUAAGAUGAUCCCCAGUAUGUUAGACUUGAAACUAUGGAUGGAGUGAAAAAUAUUCUCUGCAAAUACAUCAACACUCUGAAAGCCAUUGUUUUCUCUGUUUAGAAAGUAGUUGAAAAAGUAGUGAGAAACUAGAGCUUUUUCUUUUCUGGUGUUAGUUUCAGCUUCCUACCUUGAAGGGAACCUUAAGGCCCAAACCUUCUUUUUUACAUUUGAGGAUUCUAAGUCCAUGCAUCUCGGAAACUAUGGAGACGGGAACUUCUUGUGUGAGUUGGAGAGCAGUUGUAGACCGUUAUCAUUUCCAUCGGUGUAAAAAUGAAGAAAAAAUUAUAUCUCAUGUUGUGAAAGAGUCAGACUCUGAAAUCUGCUUAUACUUUGCUAUUUACAAAUCCUUCAUUUUUAGUAUACUUUUAAAAUUGAACACACACAACACUUUGGUUCCUAAAGUAAUGAUAACAAGAAAUUAAAAUCAAGAUGUAGACUUUUGGAGUGUGCCCAGAAAACCUCUACAGCUGAUACUUUGGUGACUUGUUCCUACUCCUGGCUUUACUGGCACCUAUUUAAAUAGCAGAGGAACAUAAUUGUGUUUUGGUAGGUCAAAAUUUUAUACACUUCUGUAGAAAAAAUUAUAUAUAGGUAAGCCAAUUGGUAGAAAUGAAGUAAACCCAAUUUGCUUGUUGAGAUUAGCACUGAAGAUAUGCUAAGCUUUGGUUAUGUCAUUUGGUCAAAAAAGAAUGAGGAAAAUCCCUCAGAAAAGUUAUCUGAGAGAUCAGCACUGAACGUCAAGCCAGCCUGUCCACUCCCAUUACUAAAAGAAAUCUCCCCUUUUAACUUCAUCCCAUAAAUGGAUCAUGCUUCCUGGAUCCACCCGAGGAGGACGUGGUUUAGUUUUAGAUUCUUAGAUUACAGACUUCCACCAUCAGUUUCAGUAUUCUUUUCACGAUAUUAAUGUUAUGAAAACUGUUAGAAAUGAGGAAAUACCGCCAUGUCAGGUUCACUCAUGGAUCAAGAAAUGAGCAUUUUCUUAAACAUCAGUCCAAAACAACAAACCUCAAGUACCAUAAGUUCAGAUAACUUGGGAGCAGUUGAAAUCCUUUAAGCCACAAAGAUAGUGUCUUUUGGCAUGGCUGGUGAAAGAAGGAAGCUGGUUGAAUUCAUUGACUAACUCUGUUGCUGGCUAAAAAGACAAUUAAGGAGAAAAGGGAUGGAAGAAGAAAAGAACCAAAGAAACUAAAAUCUGUUUCUUUUUCAGGAGGAGUUGGAAGAUGAGGAGUAACACAACACUUUAGAUAUACAUGUUAAAAACUUAUAACAAAUCAUAGAUCAUACUAAAGGAUUACCGAAGUUUAGAACAUGGCUGAGGGUAUAGAUGUCAGAUUUUCUUACACAAUAGUGGGUCUUUUGUUUCAGAGUUCACUCUUGGCAAGCAACUCCCUACCACUGCGUUAAUUUCCUGUCGAUCUUUCAUUCAGCAACAGACCUAGAGAUGGGGAGCAGACACUGCCCCCCCCACCCAGGCUUUUUAAGACUGUGCUUUGUGUAGAUUAAAAAGACGAAGGAAAAAAGAAUAAACUUUUUCCAAACAAGAUGUCCAUGUGCAUUCUUUAAGAUCCUGUGUGUGCUUAAAACGAUCCUGUAAAAAAGCCCUCUCCAUAAUUUUGAACCUCUCCUUUUUCUAAAGACUUUUAUAGGCAUUUUUUUUUCUUCUUCUCAGCAUGUGAACCAAUGUGUAACUCAAAUAGAUGUUACUUUGCUGUUUACUUAGAUUGUUUUAAAAGGCUAGCUGUGUGGAGGAAUGAGGAAGGAAGGGAGGCGGGAGUGGCUGGAGUUUUUUUUUUUC